CCUACGGGCGGCAGCAGUAGGGAAUAUUGCUCAAUGGGGGAAACCCUGAAGCAGCAACGCCGCGUGGAGGAUGAAGGUUUUAGGAUUGUAAACUCCUUUUGUUAGAGAAGAUUAUGACGGUAUCUAACGAAUAAGCACCGGCUAACUCCGUGCCAGCAGCCGCGGUAAUACGGAGGGUGCAAGCGUUACUCGGAAUCACUGGGCGUAAAGAGUGCGUAGGCGGGGUAAUAAGUCAGAUGUGAAAUCCUGUGGCUUAACUAAAGAACUGCAUUUGAAACUGUUACUCUGGAGUGUGGGAGAGGUAGGUGGAAUUCUUGGUGUAGGGGUAAAAUCCGUAGAGAUAAAGAGGAAUACUCGUUGCGAAGGCGACCUGCUGGAACGUUACUGACGCUGAUGCACGAAAGCGUGGGGAGCAAACAGGAUUAGAUACCCGGGUAGUC
This 440-nucleotide ribosomal RNA is filed under the name uncultured bacterium. RNAcentral describes it as "partial 16S ribosomal RNA". It matches the Rfam family "Bacterial small subunit ribosomal RNA", at positions 338 to 795 of the family's 1533-position model. The record is from RNAcentral.